RNAcentral lists this long non-coding RNA (1365 nucleotides) under Oryctolagus cuniculus (rabbit). RNAcentral describes it as "lncRNA (ENSOCUG00000037961.1)". The record is from RNAcentral. Lineage: Eukaryota; Metazoa; Chordata; Mammalia; Lagomorpha; Leporidae.
AUGGGAAACAGAAUGGGAUCCUCCCGCUCCAAAGCGUGGCAGCACACCGCUCCGUCAGGGACUCCGGCCAGCUCUAAAGCGUGGCAGCACACCCCUCCGUCAGGGACCCCGGCCAGCUACAUGCUCACCCACUGUGGGUCACACGCUUGUGCGUUUCUGAGCUCCUGGGUAUAUUACACCAGGAGUAAUGUAGAGCUCCAGUGGCCGCAGUGGGGAUCGUUUGAACUUCCGAAGCUUGCUUUCCUCAGAAAUAAGUUAGGAGAGCUUGGCUGUGUGGUCCAGCCUUCAGAAUGGGAUGCGUUUUUCAAGUGGUAUCUGGAAGCUUCAAGCCGUGCUCAGCACGCAGAGGUUGCCUCCCUGCAAGGCACCAUCUCCCAGCUUGCUGAUGCAAACAGACAACUCAGAAAGGACAUCAAGGACUUGGAAGCCAAGGUUCACUGCUCCCUGGAACGUCCUCCUCCCUCCUCGUGCACCACCUCUGCUUCGGAACCUUCCGAUGACAUGGCUAAACCCAAAGCCUCCUGUGUCCCCUGGACUAAAGAUGAGCUCCGAACCAUCGUCAGGGCCUUCCCAAAAGUCACUGAAGAUCCUCAACGAUUUGCUGAUGAGUUCAGCGUCAUAAUCCGGGUCUAUCAGCCCGAUGUCACUCAUCUCCUCCAGCUAGUCCGCAUGCUUGUUGACGAAAGUCAAGCCAAGCACUGGAUGGCUAAAGCUAACUGGGCCCACCUGGAGCUGAAUAGCCAGCAGCAGACACCCCAGUCCCCGUCCCAGGCUCAAAGUCUGGCCAGGAGUCUCCAUAGAGCUAUCUUGGAGGCAUUCCCUAAACGUGCAGAUUGGAAUAAGAUUUAUGCUUGUGUCCAAGAACCCAAUGAGCCAGUUUAUCAAUACUACAUUCGAUUCGAGCUUGUCUUUAAGGAAAACUCUGCAUUGCCUGUGAGUUCUGUUUCUUACAGCCCACUCUUUAACUCUGCAUUUGUGGGUAACCUAACCCCAGAGCUGUCCCUGCUUGUUAAAAGAUCUUCCAUGGAAUGGCUAACCAUGUCCACUGAGUGUCUGGUAGGUCAGGUCAGUAAGUUAGCCCGCUCCCUGGAGUACACCAAUGCACAGAAGUCUGCCGAUACCCUCAGUCACUUGCUGCAGCAGCUGAAAGCUCCCCAGAGGGUUCCUCCUGGCCUCUGCCAUUACUGUAAAAAACCAGGCCACUGGAAGAAAGAUUGCUACAAGCUGAAGAGAGCUAAGCAGGCCCUCCCUCAAAACCCUCAAUUUUGGGUAAUGGAUGUGUUUUCUGAGUCGGGGCCCCGGGGCAUCACGGGAGCUCCUGUCAGUCCUAGGCUGUCGUGGGUCGAGAGCUCAGAUUCAGAAUGA